CAUGCAAGUCGAGCGCCCGCAAGGGCGCGGCAAACGGGUGAGUAACACGUGGGUAACCUACCUUAAAGUGGGGAAUACCCCCGAGAAAUCGGGGCUAAUACCCCAUAGUCCCCUGGAAGUGCAAUUCAACCAGGGUAAAGCUUCGGCGCUUUAAGAUGGGCCUGCGGCCUAUCAGCUAGUUGGUGAGGUAAAUGCUCACCAAGGCUAUGACGGGUAGCUGGUCUGAGAGGACGGCCAGCCACAAUGGCACUGAGACACGGGCCAUACUCUUACGGGAGGCAGCAGUUAGGGAUCUUCCGCAAUGGGCGAAAGCCUGACGGAGCGACGCUGCGUGGAUGAUGAAGGCCUUCGGGUCGUAAAAUCCUUUUACGGGGGACGAUAAUGACG
Molecule: ribosomal RNA, 387 nt
Filed under: uncultured bacterium
Lineage: Bacteria
Description: bacterial SSU rRNA
Rfam family: Bacterial small subunit ribosomal RNA
Source: RNAcentral